RNAcentral lists this RNase P RNA (434 nucleotides) under Deltaproteobacteria bacterium. RNAcentral describes it as "RNase P RNA component class A". It matches the Rfam family "Bacterial RNase P class A". From Rfam's summary of the family: Ribonuclease P (RNase P) is a ubiquitous endoribonuclease, found in archaea, bacteria and eukarya as well as chloroplasts and mitochondria. Its best characterised activity is the generation of mature 5'-ends of tRNAs by cleaving the 5'-leader elements of precursor-tRNAs. Cellular RNase Ps are ribonucleoproteins. The record is from RNAcentral. Lineage: Bacteria; Pseudomonadati; Myxococcota; Myxococcia.
AGAGAAUGUCAGGUAAUCGCUGUAGCUAGAAGUUAUGAAAUACUUAAAGUAUCUGGUUUCAAGAAUUUAUAUUCUUGUGGGUUGAUCAGAAGGCUAAAGUUCGUAGUAAUUUUUAGUUAUGGAGGAAAGUCGGGACACCGUAGAGCAAGCUAACUGAUAACGACAGCCAGGAGUGAUCUUGAGAUAGUGCCGCAGAAAAUAACCGCUUUGAUAAUAUAAAAAUAUUAGAGCAAGGGUGAAACGGUGAGGUAAGAGCUCACCAGUAUAGUUGGUAACAAUUAUAACUAGGUAAACCUUAGCUGGUGCAAGACUAAACAGAAAGAAGAAAAGCAAUUUUCGACAACUGCUCGUUGGUCUUUGGGUAAGUCGCUUAGAUGAAUGAUUACCACACAAUUUUUUGUGAAACAGAAUCCCGCUUAUAGAAUUCUCUACUU